GGUCCGUUGGUGUAACGGCAGCACAUCUGGUUCUCAGCCAGACAGCAGGAGUUCAACUUUCCUACGGACUGCCA
This 74-nucleotide transfer RNA is filed under the name Mycobacterium talmoniae. RNAcentral's name for it is "tRNA-Glu". It matches the Rfam family "tRNA". Rfam says of the family: Transfer RNA (tRNA) molecules are approximately 80 nucleotides in length. Their secondary structure includes four short double-helical elements and three loops (D, anti-codon, and T loops). The record is from RNAcentral. Lineage: Bacteria; Bacillati; Actinomycetota; Actinomycetes; Mycobacteriales; Mycobacteriaceae.